RNAcentral lists this RNase P RNA (345 nucleotides) under Candidatus Limivivens merdigallinarum. RNAcentral's name for it is "RNase P RNA component class A". It matches the Rfam family "Bacterial RNase P class A". Rfam says of the family: Ribonuclease P (RNase P) is a ubiquitous endoribonuclease, found in archaea, bacteria and eukarya as well as chloroplasts and mitochondria. Its best characterised activity is the generation of mature 5'-ends of tRNAs by cleaving the 5'-leader elements of precursor-tRNAs. The record is from RNAcentral. Lineage: Bacteria; Bacillati; Bacillota; Clostridia; Lachnospirales; Lachnospiraceae.
UAAGUGGGAUAAAUGGUCGCGGCUGGCAGGCCGAAAGGCGCCAGACGAGGAAAGUCCGGGCUUCACAGGGCAGGAUGCCGGAUAACGUCCGGUGGAGGCGACUCCAAGGAUAGUGCAACAGAAAUAUACCGCUGCCAUCUGGCAGUAAGGGUGGAAGGGCAGUGUAAGAGACUACCGCCCGGCUGGUAACAGCCGGGGCACAUGUAAACCCCAUCCGAAGCAAGACCGAAUCAAGACAUACGGUGGCCCGCCGGUCUUAGGUAGGUUGCUGGAGCCUGGCGGCGACGCCAGGCGUAGAUAGAUGACCAUUCACGACAUAACCCGGCUUAUCGUCCCGCUUACCAU